Molecule: long non-coding RNA, 275 nt
Organism: Oreochromis niloticus (Nile tilapia)
Lineage: Eukaryota; Metazoa; Chordata; Actinopteri; Cichliformes; Cichlidae
Exons: 3
Source: RefSeq, a predicted model, not a curated record
ACUGAUCAUGAGUUUGAAUCAGGGACAAAGUGAUUGUAGAAUCUGGAGAAGAUGAAAUCAUCACUCAUGUCAAGUACAACAUCAAAACAAUAAAUCAUCAACAACAACCAAUCAGACGAAGCAGAGAUCAAGAAGAACCUGGAGAAGACGACGUCAUCACUCAUGUCAUGUACAACAUCAAAACAUUCAGUCAUCAACAAUAACCAAUCAGACGAAGCAGAGUUUAUCACACAUUUGAUUUCCAUGUGUGACAACUGCAAGUGUCCAGAGUGAGG